AGCGAACGCUGGCGGCAGGCCUAACACAUGCAAGUCGAACGAACCUUUCGGGGUUAGUGGCGGACGGGUGAGUAACACGUGGGAACGUGCCUUUAGGUUCGGAAUAACUCAGGGAAACUUGUGCUAAUACCGAAUGUGCCCUUCGGGGGAAAGAUUAAUCGCCUUUAGAGCGGCCCGCGUCUGAUUAGCUAGUUGGUUGAGGUAAUGGCUCACCAAGGCGACGAUCAGUAGCUGGUCUGAGAGGAUGAUCAGCCACAUUGGGACUGAGACACGGCCCAAACUCCUACGGGAGGCAGCAGUGGGGAAUCUUGCGCAAUGGGCGAAAGCCUGACGCAGCCAUGCCGCGUGAAUGAUGAAGGUCUUAGGAUUGUAAAAUUCUUUCACCGGGGACGAUAAUGACGGUACCCGGAGAAGAAGCCCCGGCUAACCUCGUG
This 434-nucleotide ribosomal RNA is filed under the name uncultured bacterium. RNAcentral's name for it is "partial 16S ribosomal RNA". It matches the Rfam family "Bacterial small subunit ribosomal RNA", at positions 29 to 507 of the family's 1533-position model. The record is from RNAcentral.